GACGAACGCUGGCGGCGUGCUUAACACAUGCAAGUCGAACGGUAAGGCCCUGCUUUUGUGGGGUGCUCGAGUGGCGAACGGGUGAGUAACACGUGAGUAACCUGCCCUUGACUUUGGGAUAACUUCAGGAGACUGGGGCUAAUACCGGAUAGGAGCUCCUGCUGCAUGGUGGGGGUUGGAAAGUUUCGGCGGUUGGGGAUGGACUCGCGGCUUAUCAGCUUGUUGGUGGGGUAGUGGCUUACCAAGGCUUUGACGGGUAGCCGGCCUGAGAGGGUGACCGGCCACAUUGGGACUGAGAUACGGCCCAGACUCCUACGGGAGGCAGCAGUGGGGAAUAUUGCACAAUGGGCGGAAGCCUGAUGCAGCAAUGCCGCGUGCGGGAUGACGGCCUUCGGGUUGUAAACCGCUUUCGCCUGUGACGAAGCGUGAGUGACGGUAAUGGGUAAAGAAGCACCGGCUAACUACGUG
RNAcentral lists this ribosomal RNA (468 nucleotides) under uncultured bacterium. Its description in RNAcentral is "partial 16S ribosomal RNA". It matches the Rfam family "Bacterial small subunit ribosomal RNA", at positions 28 to 507 of the family's 1533-position model. The record is from RNAcentral.